GACGAACGCUGGCGGCGUGCUUAACACAUGCAAGUCGAACGGGCCCGCUCUCUUUUUUGGGGGUGGGUUGAGUGGCGAACGGGUGAGUAUCACGUGAGUAACCUGCCCCCUGCUCCUGGAUAACUGCUUGAAAGGGCGGCUAAUACGGGGUGUGCCGGCUGGUCCGCAUGGGCCUGGUCGGGAUAGUUUCAUCUUCGGGUGUUUCGGUGGGGGAUGGGCUCGCGGCCUAUCAGCUUGUUGGUGGGGGGAUGGCCCACCAAGGCGGUGGCGGGUAGCCGGCCUGAGGGGGUGGGCGGCCACACGGGGACUGAGACACGGCCCAGACGCGUGCGGGAGGCAGCAGUGGGGGGUAUUGCACGAUGGACGGAAGCCUGAUGCAGCGACGUCGCGUGGGGGAUGGAGGCCUUCGGGUUGUGAACCUCUUUCUCCGGUGGUGAAGGCCCUGUCCGUUGCGGCGGGGUUGACGGUAGCCGGGUAUGAAGCGCCGGCUAACUACGUG
This 499-nucleotide ribosomal RNA is filed under the name uncultured bacterium. RNAcentral describes it as "partial 16S ribosomal RNA". It matches the Rfam family "Bacterial small subunit ribosomal RNA", at positions 28 to 507 of the family's 1533-position model. The record is from RNAcentral.